CCAGACUCCUACGGGAGGCAGCAGUGGGGAAUAUUGGACAAUGGGGGAAACCCUGAUCCAGCGACGCCGCGUGAGUGAAGAAGUAUUUCGGUACGUAAAGCUCUAUCAGCAGGAAAGAAAAUGACGGUACCUGACUAAGAAGCCCCGGCUAACUACGUGCCAGCAGCCGCGGUAAUACGUAGGGGGCAAGCGUUAUCCGGAUUUACUGGGUGUAAAGGGAGCGUAGACGGCAAGACAAGCCUGGAGUGAAAGGCGGGGGCCCAACCCCCGGACUGCUCUGGGAACUGUCUGGCUGGAGUGCAGGAGGGGUAAGUGGAAUUCCUAGUGUAGCGGUGAAAUGCGUAGAUAUUAGGAGGAACACCAGUGGCGAAGGCGGCUUACUGGACUGUAACUGACGUUGAGGCUCGAAGGCGUGGGGAGCAAACAGGAUUAGAUACCCCAGUAUA
RNAcentral lists this ribosomal RNA (446 nucleotides) under uncultured bacterium. Its description in RNAcentral is "bacterial SSU rRNA". It matches the Rfam family "Bacterial small subunit ribosomal RNA", at positions 331 to 794 of the family's 1533-position model. The record is from RNAcentral.